This 377-nucleotide ribosomal RNA is filed under the name uncultured eukaryote. RNAcentral's name for it is "SSU rRNA". It matches the Rfam family "Eukaryotic small subunit ribosomal RNA", at positions 587 to 972 of the family's 1831-position model. The record is from RNAcentral.
AGCUCCAAUAGCGUAUAUUAAAGUUGUUGCAGUUAAAAAGCUCGUAGUUGGAUGUUGGGUUCUAGUUAUGGUCGGUCUCUUCUAGAGUACUGUCAUGCUGGCCCUUUUUCUCGAGGCCUAUAGGUGCACUUUACCGUGUGUUUAUAGUGUUCGGGACUUUUACCGUGAGAAAAUUAGAGUGUUCAUAGCAGGCUAGUGCUUGAAUAUUACAGCAUGGAAUAAUGGAAUAGGAUCAUGAUCUUAUUUUGUUGGUUUCUAAGAUUAAGAUAAUGAUUAAUAGGGAUAGUUGGGGGCAUUAAUAUUUAGUUGUCAGAGGUGAAAUUCUUAGAUUUACAAAAGAUUAACUUCUGCGAAAGCAUUUGCCAAGGAUGUUUUCG